This 510-nucleotide ribosomal RNA is filed under the name uncultured bacterium. RNAcentral describes it as "bacterial SSU rRNA". It matches the Rfam family "Bacterial small subunit ribosomal RNA", at positions 28 to 504 of the family's 1533-position model. The record is from RNAcentral.
GACGAACGCUGGCGGCGUGCCUAAUACAUGCAAGUCGAACGCAAUCUUUUAACAAUGAGUGCUUGCACUCAGCGUUUUAAGUGCGAGUGGCGAACGGGUGAGUAACACGUGGGCAAUCUGCCCAAAAGUGGGGGAUAACACUUGGAAACAGGUGCCAAUACCGCAUCAACCGGCUGACCGCAUGGUCGGCCGGGCAAAGACGGCGUCAGCUGUCGCUUUUGGAUGAGCCCGCGGCGUAUUAACUAGUUGGUAAGGUAACGGCUUACCAAGGUGAUGAUACGUAGCCGAACUGAGAGGUUGAUCGGCCACAUUGGGACUGAGACACGGCCCAAACUCCUACGGGAGGCAGCAGUAGGGAAUCUUCCACAAUGGACGCAAGUCUGAUGGAGCAACGCCGCGUGAGUGAAGAAGGCCUUCGGGUCGUAAAACUCUGUUGCCGGGGAAGAACAAGUGCCGUUCGAACAGGGCGGCGCCUUGACGGUACCCGGCCAGAAAGCCACGGCUAACUAC